RNAcentral lists this ribosomal RNA (292 nucleotides) under uncultured bacterium. RNAcentral describes it as "partial 16S ribosomal RNA". It matches the Rfam family "Bacterial small subunit ribosomal RNA", at positions 505 to 796 of the family's 1533-position model. The record is from RNAcentral.
GUGCCAGCCGCCGCGGUAAUACGAAGGGGGCUAGCGUUGUUCGGAAUUACUGGGCGUAAAGCGCGCGCAGGCGGUCUUCCAAGUCAGUGGUGAAAGCCCGGAGCUCAACUCCGGAACUGCCAUUGAAACUGUUAGACUUGAGGAUGAGAGAGGUGAGUGGAAUUCCCAGUGUAGAGGUGAAAUUCGUAGAUAUUGGGAAGAACACCGGUGGCGAAGGCGGCUCACUGGCUCAUUACUGACGCUCAGGCGCGAUAGCGUGGGGAUCAAACAGGAUUAGAUACCCUUGUAGUCC